GUGUCAGCAGCCGCGGUAAUACGUAGGUGGCAAGCGUUGUCCGGAAUUAUUGGGCGUAAAGCGCGCGCAGGCGGUUUCUUAAGUCUGAUGUGAAAGCCCACGGCUCAACCGCGGAGGGUCAUUGGAAACUGGGAGACUUGAGUGCAGAAGAGGAAAGUGGAAUUCCACGUGUAGCGGUGAAAUGCGUCGAGAUUUGGAGGAACACCCGUGGCGAAGGCGGCUUUCUGGUCUGCAGCUGACGCUGAGGCGCGAAAGCAUGGGGAGCAAACAGGAUUA
This 276-nucleotide ribosomal RNA is filed under the name uncultured bacterium. RNAcentral's name for it is "partial 16S rRNA". It matches the Rfam family "Bacterial small subunit ribosomal RNA", at positions 505 to 780 of the family's 1533-position model. The record is from RNAcentral.